Molecule: ribosomal RNA, 429 nt
Filed under: uncultured bacterium
Lineage: Bacteria
Description: bacterial SSU rRNA
Rfam family: Bacterial small subunit ribosomal RNA
Source: RNAcentral
UGGGGAAUAUUGGACAAUGGGGGCAACCCUGAUCCAGCGAUGCCGCGUGGGUGAAGAAGGCCUUCGGGUUGUAAAGCCCUUUAGGUUGGGAAGAAGUGGAUUGUCGGAUAAUGAUAGUUCAUUGACGGUACCGACAGAAUAAGCACCGGCAAACUCUGUGCCAGCAGCCGCGGUAAUACAGAGGGUGCGAGCGUUAAUCGGAAUUACUGGGCGUAAAGGGCGCGUAGGCGGUGAGGAGGGUGUGAUGUGAAAGCCCUGGGCUUAGCCUGGGAAGUGCAUCGCAAACUACCUGACUGGAGUAUAAGAGAGGGUGGCGGAAUUUCCGGUGUAGCGGUGAAAUGCGUAGAGAUCGGAAGGAACGUCAAUGGCGAAGGCAGCCACCUGGCUUAAUACUGACGCUGAGGCGCGAAAGCGUGGGGAGCGAACAGG